This 253-nucleotide ribosomal RNA is filed under the name uncultured bacterium. RNAcentral describes it as "partial 16S ribosomal RNA". It matches the Rfam family "Bacterial small subunit ribosomal RNA", at positions 524 to 776 of the family's 1533-position model. The record is from RNAcentral.
UACGUAGGUGACCAGCGUUGUCCGGAUUUACUGGGCGUAAAGAGCGCGCAGGCGGUCGUUCAAGUCGAGUGUGAAAGCCCCCGGCUCAACUGGGGAGGGUCAUUCGAUACUGAUCGACUGGAAGGCAGGAGAGGGAAGCGGAAUUCCAGGUGUAGCGGUGAAAUGCGUAGAUAUCUGGAGGAACACCGGUGGCGAAGGCGGCAUCCUGGACCAAUUCUGACACUGAGGAGCGAAAGCCAGGGGAGCAAACGGG